GAAAGCGUGGGGAGCGAACAGGAUUAGAUACCCUGGUAGUCCACGCCGUAAACGAUGAGUGCUAAGUGUUAGGGGGUUUCCGCCCCUUAGUGCUGCAGCUAACGCAUUAAGCACUCCGCCUGGGGAGUACGGUCGCAAGACUGAAACUCAAAGGAAUUGACGGGGGCCCGCACAAGCGGUGGAGCAUGUGGUUUAAUUCGAAGCAACGCGAAGAACCUUACCAGGUCUUGACAUCCUCUGACAAUCCUAGAGAUAGGACGUCCCCUUCGGGGGCAGAGUGACAGGUGGUGCAUGGUUGUCGUCAGCUCGUGUCGUGAGAUGUUGGGUUAAGUCCCGCAACGAGCGCAACCCUUGAUCUUAGUUGCCAGCAUUCAGUUGGGCACUCUAAGGUGACUGCCGGUGACAAACCGGAGGAAGGUGGGGAUGACGUCAAAUCAUCAUGCCCCUUAUGACCUGGGCUACACACGUGCUACAAUGGACAGAACAAAGGGCAGCGAAACCGCGAGGUUAAGCCAAUCCCACAAAUCUGUUCUCAGUUCGGAUCGCAGUCUGCAACUCGACUGCGUGAAGCUGGAAUCGCUAGUAAU
Molecule: ribosomal RNA, 587 nt
Filed under: Bacillus subtilis
Lineage: Bacteria; Bacillati; Bacillota; Bacilli; Caryophanales; Bacillaceae
Description: bacterial SSU rRNA
Rfam family: Bacterial small subunit ribosomal RNA
Source: RNAcentral